This is a non-coding RNA of Bos taurus (domestic cattle), 69 nucleotides long. NCBI's taxonomy places the organism in Eukaryota, Metazoa, Chordata, Mammalia, Artiodactyla, Bovidae. The record is from Rfam.
CCUGGUGGCUCAGACGGUAAAGCAUCUGCCUACAAUGCAGGAGACCCAGGUUCGAUCCCUGGGUCAGGA